Molecule: ribosomal RNA, 468 nt
Filed under: uncultured bacterium
Lineage: Bacteria
Description: partial 16S ribosomal RNA
Rfam family: Bacterial small subunit ribosomal RNA
Source: RNAcentral
GACGAACGCUGGCGGCGUGCUUAACACAUGCAAGUCGAACGGAAAGGCCCUGCUUUUGUGGGGUGCUCGAGUGGCGAACGGGUGAGUAACACGUGAGUAACCUGCCCUUGACUUUGGGAUAACUUCAGGAAACUGGGUCUAAUACCGGAUAGGAGCUCCUGCUGCAUGGUGGGGGUUGGAAAGUUUCGGCGGUUGGGGAUGGACUCGCGGCUUAUCAGCUUGUUGGUGGGGGAGUGGCUUACCAAGGCUUUGACGGGUAGCCGGCCUGAGAGGGUGACCGGCCACAUUGGGACUGAGAUACGGACCAGACUCCUACGGGAGGCAGCAGUGGGGAAUAUUGCACAAUGGGCGGAAGCCUGAUGCAGCAACGCCGCGUGCGGGAUGACGGCCUUCGGGUUGUAAACCGCUUUCGCCUGUGACGAAGCGUGAGUGACGGUAAUGGGUAAAGAAGCACCGGCUAACUACGUG